This 65-nucleotide transfer RNA is filed under the name Phobaeticus serratipes. Its description in RNAcentral is "tRNA-Glu". Lineage: Eukaryota; Metazoa; Arthropoda; Insecta; Phasmatodea; Phasmatidae. The record is from RNAcentral.
AUUUAUAUAGUUUAAAACAAAACAUUACAUUUUCAUUGUAAAAUUAAAAUAAAUUUUUGUAAAUA